GUCUGAACAUAAAACAUUUGUAAAAAUUUUUAAAAAUGAGAAAAUGAAAAGAAGAAAAGAUAAGCCAGAGACUGUGGAAACCCUUAGGACGUUCCAUAAAUGGAAAGGAAUCGUCUCUGAAAAACAGAGGAUAUUCACAGAGGGCAAGCAAAGGUCAGCUACUUCUGAAGGAUUGUCACAUGGACAGAGUAACUGUAAAGCAAUGAUAAAAAAACAUUAUCUGGCGGUGGGUCUGCAGAGGCCUCUCAUUGGUCACUGUGAGUCACGUGGUUGAUCUGCAGGGCCCUCUCAUUGGUCACUGUGAGUCAUGUGCAGGGGCCUCUCAUUGGUCACUCUGAGCCACGUGCAGGAUCCUGUCAUUGGUCACCGUGAGUCACGUGGUUGAUCUGCAGGGAUCUCUUAUUGGUCACUAUGAGUCACACUCUGCUCUGGUGUCAUGGCACUCACAAGAUGUCUCCUUUCUUUCCUUGUCUCUUUUGCUACCCGCCUGAACUCUGAGGGAAGCCAAAAUUCCAACCUACAUUGACCCUCAGUUUCCUCCAGAUUUGGCCCACGGUGCUCCACAACAGUAUUUAACAGCCCAUAACAUGCAUCAAACGUUUGUGUAAAUGUCUUGAAGUUGUCAACAGCAGCUUCUUUGUGGUAGAGACUUGGCCUCUUAAUCCACAGAAGUACCUCCGGGUUCCUUACUCAACCAAAUCUCCUUGGUGUAAAGAACCUGCCAGCUGCUUCUCCUUCCUUGGGGAUCCUGAGUCCAUAGAUGGCAUGCUCCACCCCCUACCUUCAUCUCGCCUGUUCUGACCCUCAGACCACAGAUGAACCAAUAGCACUUUUGACAGUUGGAAUACGAGAGAAUUCUACUCUGGAGAAGCCAUAAACCUUGGCCAUAUUAGAAGUAACAGGAUCCCUCGAUUCGUCCUGAUUGAACUCAGAGUCUGCCCCGGAUGGUGCGUUCAGGCAUAACUACCGGAUUCUACUAUUUCAUCUCUUGGUACCCCCUAAGAGGAGGCAGAGAUGUUGGGGUCAUCCUUUCCUCCUGACAGUUGAGGAAAUCAAGGCAAAGGCAAGUGGUUUACUCCAGAGUCCUUCCUAAUACAGUGUGGGCUCCCUCAGGGCUCCUGUUCAGUACUGAUUUCCCUGGAGCCAGGGUCUUCGCACCACAGCUCCAGUCUUCCCAAGACCGUCUAGCACAAGAGGCAACUUUAGCUGUCACAGUAGAAGUUCUGGAGAUCGCAGGGAGUGACUGUCUAGGUGGCUGCUCUGCCCCAGACUUGGGGGUAGAGGUGGUCAUGAGAACGAGGAGGAACAACUCCUGGGAGCUCACAAGGUGCUGACCAUCUCUUAGUCACAGGAGCAGAACCAAGGCUAUCUGAUUUAUACACCAACACCAACAGGCGAGCCUCCCUCCAGCCCUGACGUGGACAGGCCAAAAGCUAGUCUUCAACAUGGUAAAAGAUUUAGGGCACUUGCAAGGAAGUCAGGAGCCCUAGAAAUCACCACAACAUGAGAACUAAGCUGCACUCGGAGUCCCUAGCACAACAGCCUGCUCUGCAGCACCCUGAACACAGCCAGGAAGGCGGGUUUGGAAUGAAGACUCCUUUAUUCAAGCAGUCAGUGAUGAUGCUGCCCGUGGGAGAGCACCACUUCCUGAAGACGCCCUGACGCUUGUCUGGGGCUGGAAAGAUGGCUUCCUAAAAGCUGUUGAAAGCCCUGGCUGCUCUUACAGAGGACCUAAGUUUGGUUCCCAGAACCAACAUGGUGGCUCACAACCACCUGCACCUCCAUCCAGUUCAAGCAGAUCUGAUGCCCUCUUGUGACCUCUGCAGGUACCAUACACACAGGGCACGUGAAUAUAUGCAGCACUCAUAAAAUGAAAAUAAAUCUUUAAAAAGAAAAAACCCAUAUUUAUCUUUCUUUGUCCAUGUCUGUCUGUCAGUCUCUAUCUCUUUGUAUUCUCUCUCUCUCUCUCUCUCUCUCUCUCUCUCUCUCUCACAGA
Long non-coding RNA from Rattus norvegicus (Norway rat), 1996 nucleotides. RefSeq lists it as uncharacterized. The record is from RefSeq and is a predicted model, not a curated record. NCBI's taxonomy places the organism in Eukaryota, Metazoa, Chordata, Mammalia, Rodentia, Muridae.